RNAcentral lists this unclassified non-coding RNA (200 nucleotides) under Diatrype sp. Its description in RNAcentral is "partial internal transcribed spacer 2". The record is from RNAcentral. Lineage: Eukaryota; Fungi; Ascomycota; Sordariomycetes; Xylariales; Diatrypaceae.
UUAAGUUCAGCGGGUAUUCCUACCUGAUCCGAGGUCAACCUUUAAAAAUAGGGGGUUUAACGGCAAGACGUCAGUACCGGCACCUAAAGCGAGAAAAAAUUACUACGCUUGGGGUCAGCACGACUCCGCCACUCUAUUUGAGGAGCUAUCCAGAGAUAGGCUCCCAAAACUAAGCAACUGAGGCUUAAGGGUCGAAAUGA